AGCAAGGCAAUGAGAAAGAGGAGUAAGGUCUUAGCUGCGGCAUAGAGAGAAAACGGUUGGUGUAAGUUUUCAUGCAGCGGGCGUGAAGGUCGCUUUUGAGCUUCCGGGCUGAAGGCAGUAGGUUUGGACGUUCGCCGCGUUAAGGCUUUGAGCUGACCGGUCAGAUUGACAGGUCAGGAACAUUGGUGGUACCACGGAAGUAUGCGCUUUCGUCCUUUGG
RNAcentral lists this non-coding RNA (220 nucleotides) under Pseudoselenomonas ruminantium. RNAcentral describes it as "Selenomonas ruminantium T-box sequence". It matches the Rfam family "T-box leader". From Rfam's summary of the family: Uncharged tRNA acts as the effector for transcription antitermination of genes in the T-box leader family. T-boxes are found upstream of many aminoacyl-tRNA synthetase genes and some amino acid biosynthetic genes usually in Gram-positive bacteria. The record is from RNAcentral. Lineage: Bacteria; Bacillati; Bacillota; Negativicutes; Selenomonadales; Selenomonadaceae.